AUAUUCCUGCCCGGUGCGCCACGGGCAGACCGUUAAAACCUACAAGAGAUCAAUGGAGUCCGGCCUUCGCGCUCAGGGUUUGCAGACCUCCCUCCGGCAUUUCUUUCAGUGGAAUGCCGCCGAGGACGCUGGGAGCACAAGCGACGCGAGAGGACACCAACCUGCCAUAGCCGCGGGUUUCUCAAUGGACUGCGCGAACGGCCGGGCGGGAAUAUU
RNAcentral lists this non-coding RNA (216 nucleotides) under Candidatus Colimorpha enterica. Its description in RNAcentral is "6S RNA". It matches the Rfam family "6S / SsrS RNA". From Rfam's summary of the family: E. coli 6S RNA was the first non coding RNA to be sequenced, but its function was unknown until recently. The record is from RNAcentral. Lineage: Bacteria; Pseudomonadati; Bacteroidota; Bacteroidia; Bacteroidales.